UACGUAGGGUCCGAGCGUUGUCCGGAAUUACUGGGCGUAAAGGGCUCGUAGGUGGCCAACUAAGUCAGACGUGAAAUCCCUCGGCUUAACCGGGGAACUGCGUGUGAUACUGGAUGGCUUGGAUUUGGGAGAGGGAUGCGGAAUUCCAGGUGUAGCGGUGAAAUGCGUAGAUAUCUGGAGGAACACCGGUGGCGAAGGCGGCAUCCUGGACCAAUAUUGACGCUGAGGAGCGAAAGCCAGGGGAGCAAACGGG
RNAcentral lists this ribosomal RNA (253 nucleotides) under uncultured bacterium. RNAcentral describes it as "partial 16S ribosomal RNA". It matches the Rfam family "Bacterial small subunit ribosomal RNA", at positions 524 to 776 of the family's 1533-position model. The record is from RNAcentral.